GUCGACGUACUCAAGAGGCUCAAGAGGCUUCCCUGCUAAGGAAGUAGGUUGGGUAACUGGCGCGAGGGUUCGAAUCCCUCCGUCGACGCCA
RNAcentral lists this transfer RNA (91 nucleotides) under Anaeroplasma bactoclasticum. RNAcentral describes it as "tRNA-Ser". It matches the Rfam family "tRNA". From Rfam's summary of the family: Transfer RNA (tRNA) molecules are approximately 80 nucleotides in length. Their secondary structure includes four short double-helical elements and three loops (D, anti-codon, and T loops). Further hydrogen bonds mediate the characteristic L-shaped molecular structure. tRNAs have two regions of fundamental functional importance: the anti-codon, which is responsible for specific mRNA codon recognition, and the 3' end, to which the tRNAs corresponding amino acid is attached (by aminoacyl-tRNA synthetases). tRNAs cope with the degeneracy of the genetic code in two manners: having more than one tRNA (with a specific anti-codon) for a particular amino acid; and 'wobble' base-pairing, i.e. permitting non-standard base-pairing at the 3rd anti-codon position. The record is from RNAcentral. RNAcentral also lists the same sequence under 1 other name. Lineage: Bacteria; Bacillati; Mycoplasmatota; Mollicutes; Anaeroplasmatales; Anaeroplasmataceae.